CUUUUGAUUGUCCACAGAUCUGCUUCUUUUUCAUAUCAGGAAAGACCCUGGGAAGGACCAUUUGCAGAAACUCAUUCUGCCUGUUUUCUUUCAUGAAAAUCCUAGAUCUGAAUUGUUCUUCAAAGAUCUUUUAUUCCUCUUUGCAGAAGCAGACAAAAUUCUAGGAGUUCAUGGGAGGCCUCUCAGUCCUAAGCCCUUAAAGGAGAAAUAUUACUGAACAUUCCUUCAAUCUCUUCCUAAGAAGAAGGUGGAAUGGCUCCAGUUCCUCCGUCACUAAGGAUUCUCCGGGUUACAACCUGCACAAAUGGUGAGACUUGGACCCAGAGGGAAGAAGAUCACGUGAGGACGGAGGCAGAGGUUGGCAUUAUGCUUCCACAAGCCAAGGAAUGCCAGGACCCAUCAGAAGUUGGAAAAGGCAAGAAAAGAUUCUCUUCUAGCACCUUCGAUGGAGGGUGGCCAUGCUGACACCUCAGUUUCAGAAUGUUGGCCUCCAGAAUGGUGAGUGAAUAAGUUUCUAUUUUUCUAAGCUACCCAGUUUGUGGCAUUUUGUUAUGGCAGCCCCAGGAAACUAAUAUAUAUACCCAAUCACCUUUCUGAAUGUAUUUCUCCAUAGAAUGAAUGUUGUAAAGGGAGGUUAUAUUCCAGUUACAGCCCACAAAAAGUAUCUAGUGCCUAAUAUAGUUGAAACAUAACACUAUCAAAUUAAAUGUCGUUAAAGCAGUCUCUCAUGGAAAGUUCAACCUAUAUACUGGGCCAGAGGGAUUCUGCCUUCCUUGGUCCCAUGCAGACAGACAUGGAGACAGUUCCCUAUUCUGCCAGGAGACGGCGCUUUCGGCAGUGAGUCUUACAAAAUUAAGUGAGCAUCUUUAACUCAGCCAACAUUUAAUGACCGCCUAUUGUGCUGGUAUACGGUGGUGGAUCACACCAAGUCCAUCCUGCAUGGGAUGAACAGCUCAGUGGAAGAUAAGGAAAAUAGGCGUUUGGGGAGGAUGGUAAAUGUGAACUGCAUAGAAUCCUGUUGGGACUGGUGAAGAGACGCUAGGUUUUGGGGGUGGGGGAAAGGGAGGGGAAGGGUGGCCAUUUCUGCUAGGUGAAGAAAAUCUAGGAAGUUUACAUUGUCAUUGUCAUAGCUUGAGGAAUUGCCUUAUGUACACUUAGGAGAGAAAUUUUCCCAAGAGGUCUCUUGCAAAUUCCUCUGAGAUUCUAGCCACUUCUGUAUCAUUUUUAGUGCCAGCUCACCUUACUUCUUAUUCAUGCCAGGCCAGGAAAACAGAUUUGUGACUGAAAUUUGAUUACCAUACAUUUGUAGGAUCGGUAGGAUUGUGACCUCGAAUCAGUUUAAUUGGCCUAAUCCAUUGGAGCCGAGUAAUUGAAUGCCAGCAAAAAUGAGUCCCAAACUAUUGGCAGUGGCUUGCUUUCUGGUAGGAAGAUUGUUUUAAUGUGGUAAAUGGAUGUUUUAGGGUCAUCAGUUAAUUUCUUUUACGUCCCACAUGUUAAUAGUCAGAGGAAACAAUUGUAUACCUAACUGACAAAGAUACAAGAUGUUGAUUCUAUGGCAAAUUCCUUGGAAUGAGAAAAUCUGGGAGAGUAGUCCAACAGCAGUGACUUUAAUAUUUCCAUUUAACAAUGAGGCAGAUGUAUAUCUACCUAAUAUCUUGGAGGGUAGGAUAUUGAUUUCCAAGGCCAAGGUAAGGACAUACGAUGUGGACAAUUGUGAGGUAACAGUGAGAAAGGGCUUAAACCUUUCCUGAGAAUUGUUCCCAGUUGCUGUAUUUAUCUGAAAUAUUAGGCUUCUCAAACUUGAUGACUUCCCAGUCUGACUUAAUUAUUUUAAUUAUGAAGUUACUUAAAUAUAUGAAAACAUAAUCAUUUGUAUAAACCCUUUAAUAGCUCCUAGAUAACUAUAAACCCCAUCACAUUUACACAUUGAAGAACUGGUCUUAAUUUGAAUUAUUUUUUAGUUUGUAGCUUCAUUUGUAUAUAAUAUGUUGGACAAUGUUGGCUGAA
Molecule: long non-coding RNA, 2007 nt
Filed under: Papio anubis (olive baboon)
Lineage: Eukaryota; Metazoa; Chordata; Mammalia; Primates; Cercopithecidae
Description: lncRNA (ENSPANG00000039443.1)
Source: RNAcentral